GUAGGCAUAGUUAAAGUAUAACGUCAGGCUGUGACUCUGCAGUUAGAGGUUAAAAUCCUCUUGCCCACC
Molecule: transfer RNA, 69 nt
Filed under: Brachyhypopomus occidentalis
Lineage: Eukaryota; Metazoa; Chordata; Actinopteri; Gymnotiformes; Hypopomidae
Description: tRNA-His
Rfam family: tRNA
About the family: Transfer RNA (tRNA) molecules are approximately 80 nucleotides in length. Their secondary structure includes four short double-helical elements and three loops (D, anti-codon, and T loops).
Source: RNAcentral